AGCCUCUGGCUGAGGAGCCUCACCUCUGGGGCCACACUUCUGACGGCAGGUGCUGGCCCCGCCACUCUGAGGACCCCGAGCCCCUCCUGUCCGUGCCACAAGAGGGGACCACAGGAGGCAGAUGCUUGGGCUGGCAGAGGGCCUGUGGUCUGGGCUCCUGCGUGUGGGUGCAUGUGUGUCAGGGGCUCGGGCUCUCUCCCACAGCUGUCCUCCUGGCCCCCUGUGUCUUGGCAGUAGCUGCUCUCGAUGCAGCUCUGUGCUUUCCCAGUGCCUGUGACAUUCCCAGCUGCUGCUCACCCUUGCCUUAGAGAUCUCCAGCCCCAAGGCUGCCCCCAGCCGUGGAUCUCCAGGCCUCACUGGCUCCUCCGCGCUCCCUUCGUGAAUACUCUCUGCUGCAUCCAGGAUGGUCUGAAAACUCCCAUCUGGGCAGUGGUUGAUAUCACAGCAAAUCCCGCAGUUCGAAGAUGUUAAAUUUGAAGCAGCAAGUCUGUUGUCUGAAUUGUACUGUCAAGAGAAUUCCGUUGAUGCAGCAAAGCCGCUGCUGCGGAAGGCGAUCCA
Molecule: small RNA, 558 nt
Filed under: Pan troglodytes (chimpanzee)
Lineage: Eukaryota; Metazoa; Chordata; Mammalia; Primates; Hominidae
Description: processed transcript
Source: RNAcentral